This 4005-nucleotide long non-coding RNA is filed under the name Xyrichtys novacula (pearly razorfish). Lineage: Eukaryota; Metazoa; Chordata; Actinopteri; Labriformes; Labridae. The record is from RNAcentral.
AGGUCAUUCAGCUCGUACACCGGACCCGCUUUCCGUUUGAGCUGCUGUUGUUUCGGCUCCGUUUGCGAGCUGAACCCUCUCUCGGGUCUCGGUCACUGUGGUUGAUCACACAGACAAGCUAACAUCCUACAGUCACUCAGCAACUGAGCUGCCUGCGCUGAACCACAUUUGAUACCCAUCUUUUUCUUCGGCCUGCAGUUCAAGUGCACUGAAACCACCACAAUGAAAAAGCUCAUUUGGCUUACUUAAAAUUGGAAGUGGGUCAGUACAUUUUCAAAUAUCUGAUUUAGACAGUAAAAAUCUGAAAAGAUGUUUCACCCACUAAAGAAAUCACUAUUUGCUCAACCCUACCUGCUCGAGUCACCUCUAGACACUAAGUAGUUGAUUUGUAUCAUUACAUGAGACUUAGACUGUGAGACUUAAUAUUAAACUUUAAAGGAAAUGUAGCAGAAACUGAAUUAUUGAAUUAUCAACAAAUUUACAAAAUAUUUUCUGGAUUAAUUAAUUUAUUGUUUGAGAGAUUAGAAAAUAAUGCUGCAAUAAAUGUCAAACCAAAAUUUCAGUAUGUUUUCAGGUGAUGAAGAUACAAAACUGAUGAAACGAGAUAUUCUGUUAAUUUAUGUUUAUUUUUGUUAAUUUAGAUUUAUGUCAUGAUGAUUGCCUGGAUGAUCUAUAGAAAAUCACCAAGAUGUUAAUUAUAUUUCUUUCCCUUUAUAAAUGUUCUUCCUAGAGCUGCGUCCCCCCCACUGUAGUCCGUAAUGGACUGGCCUGAGGUCUCGCUACAAACAAGUGGCUGCUGGAAGAGAGUAGGUGAGUUGUGUUUAGUCUCUUUGCCAAAGAAAUUAGGCAAAGUUAAAAAGAUGUUUGGUGGCUAGUACUAUGGUUAGAACCCUAUAUGUACUGUUGAUGAAGUUAGGUGCUGUUCUGAGCAUUAUUUGUGGCUAUAGAGUGGCGUUUUGGUUGAGGUUUGUUGAUGGCUCUUCUGAUCGCUGUCUAUUGCUAUCGUGCGGUCGUUACUAAAGCAAGCAGUCGGCAACAUUCAUCUCUGGAGGGGGUGUCUAUACUCGGUGUUAUGGUGUGUUUGACCCUAAAUUAAUUUCACGCCGGAAUAUCCCUUUAAUGUCAUGAUGGUAAUGAAAUAUUACUUUGUUUGGAAAAUUAAUACAUACUCAAGCAUACAGUAGCAUCAGUUACUGAGAAAUAUUAGGGGCUGUAAACUGUUAAUGAGCCAUCUAAAAUGAGUGUUUAGUUUCUACAUCAAAACAACAUUUUCUCACCCAUCAUCAGACAAUAUUGGACGAGUAAGCCAACAAUAAAGUCUAGAAUUUGGAGAGGUAAUACAGCUGACCUCUGCAUCUUAAGCUACAUUCCCUUACAAAAAUAGUUUGUGUUUGAACUGCAUGCUGUAUCACAUUUACAGGAAAAAAUUGCUAUUCUAUCAGUAGUAUUUGCCAGUGUAUGUGCUGUAGUCUCUGCUUUAAAAGCAAAUGUCAAGAGUUCAAAACUGAAUAGGAAGCAUCACAGUCUCAACUCCCCAGCCAAGUCUGUCUUUGAGAUACUCAAGCUUAGUUUAUAUUUGUGUUGAAGUUUGGGUGUAUUACUGUUGGAGCACAGAUUAAGCAACUUCUGCAGACUUUCCCAGUGUCUCUAAAUGUCAGACUGUCUUUAUUUUACCUGUAGUGGGUUUGCUAUCUUCUUCCUCAGCACCAUCUUCCAUAUUUAGUCACUCUGAUUGGAGCCCUCUAGCUUCCUGAGGUGCCAGUGAUGGAAAGGCAGUAAGGCGUGCGUUAGAAAAUGUGGGGAUGACACCUGCAUCUAUUUAUCAUGUGGAGUACAAUAGCACACCUUGAGAGGCAGCCAGAGCUUGUUUUCUCACUGGUUCAGAGUUGAAACACUACUACACAGCGUCAUGAUAUGUUCUUGUUGGUUUAGUUUGUUCCUGUGUUUGUAAAUUAGUUUUAUUUUCUGUGUAUUUUUCCUAGUGUCUCUGUUCCUUGUUGUUCUUGUUCCCCUGUAUUCAUAUUUCUUAUGUUCCUGUUCCUGCGUUUUACUGUUUUUUGUUUCUUAGUUCAGUUUUUAGUGUUUCCUGUUUUAUUUUGUAAUAGUCAGUCCUUGUGUCUUAAGUCUGGUUGUACUUCCUUAGUUUUCCCGCUUUUGUUACUUACUUACCUGUCCAUUUUCAGUGCUUCAGUGUUUUUUUUUCCUGCUUCUUGUGUUAUUGGUUUUUGCAGUUUUUUAUUGCACUUGUAAAGUAUUUUUUUUCCCUUUGAAACCCUUAUUUUUGAAAUAUUUUUUGAAUCUGCAUUUUAGAUCCCUUUUGCCACGUGACACACAGAUUCAUAUGUGGGCAGAAUCAAAUUAAUUGUGCCCUGUCCAUGCCACUAACUUUGAGGUAGCCUGACACAUAAUGUGUGUGCACGCAUGUGACUGUGAGCAUAGGUGUGAAUGUGUGAUAGCAGGAAUUUUUCACAAUAAUUAUGAUGACUCAUCAAUAUUUAUGUCAAUAUCUAAUACUGCCUUAUCAAUUAAAAAUCUCAUGUCAUGAUGCCCGGAGUAGACUUUUGAGGUUGUUGAAUUUGACUUUAAAUGUAAUACCAUAUCAUAUUGCAUUGUAUCAUAUUGUAUCAUAUCUUAUAUUGUAUUGUGCUGUAUAAUAUUGUAUUGUAUCUUAACAUGUGUCAAAUCGUAUCUUAUUUUAUUGUUUUGUGUCUCAACAUAUCAUACUGGGUUGUAAUAUAUCUUGUAUUGAACCACAUCAUCUUGUGUUGUGUCAUAUUGUAUCGUAUCACAUUGUAUUGAAUUGUAUUGUAUCCUAUUGUAUGAUUUAUCGUCUCAGAAUAUAUCAUAGUGUAUCAUGUCAUAAUGUAGUGUAUUGUAUCUUGUCAUAUCAUAUUCUAGUUGUGCUUGUGGCUCCUGUCAGAUUACUGAUGCAAAAUUUAGUUUUCUUUCCUCACUCAAAAUUCCUCUUAAAAGACUACAACGUUUAUCUGUCAUAUUUUUACAUAGCUUUUGACAUAGAUUUUUUACAGAGUAAAAUGAUCUUGUUGGUGUUUUAAUGAAACCAGAGUCCAUUCUUUGUUACACAGUGUUCUUGCUGAUUUUUGCAGCAAAUCUGUUGCUUUCAUCUUGUGUCUUAGAUUAUACUGAGCAUAGAAUUUAAUUAAAAAAAACUUACGAGAUGUCUGGCCUGCCACUCAUUAGAACUCAAUAGAAAAGCCAUAAAGCUAGUUCAGCAAAUGCUUGUUAAACCAUAAUUGAUCAAAUAAAUCUCCCCCAGUAUACAGGAAUUUUAGGAGUUUACAUCUGGUGUUUGAGGGGGACAGGUUUUCACCUGACCUGUAGUGAAACCAGUAGUUGAAUCAGAGUAGGCUACAGCAACUGGAAGUGUGAAGAAGAGAAAAAGAAAACCAAGGUCCUCAGAGAAAGGAUUAUAGUCACAACAAAACAGGUAAUCUAUGGCAAGACAAAUGCAUGUAACCACAGGGAAGCUUUCCCACUGUAAAGUCAUAUGCCAUAACAAAACAAAUUGACAAUGUUUUAGAUAGUUUGAGUGGAAAGGGAAGACUGAAUUUCCACACUGCAAGUUAAAGGUGCUCUGGUACAAAAGCCAUGUUCACAUUCAUUAAUUCUGAACAAAAACACAUUGUGUAUGUCCUUGAAGUCUAAACACGUUCAAUUCUCUUUUUUUCACUCUCAUAAAAUGUUCAGUAAAGGCGAUCUCUAUUAGGAAAAUGCUUUGUGUAGCUGUCAACCAUUUUUACUUGCAGUUUUCCUUUUAUUUCCUUUGUGAGCACCUGCUGAGGUUGUAGUUCCUUGUCUGUCAGUCAGAUGAAUAGUGUUAAACACGAUGUCAAAGUUUCCCACCGGAAUUUUUUUCAUUUAUUUUUUAUGAGUGGAUCUGUUCCGUUUGUGUCAUGGUGAAACAGAAAGCAUCGCUCAUUUUUACACUGUUUAGGAGAUUGCAGCGAAUUUAGUUACUUGUUGUAAAUAAACUAUAUGACCAUA